CACCUACAUCACUCCCUAAACGUUAUCUCCACCGCCCCACCCUCCACCUUUCCGGCACCGCCCCCGGCGACCCAUCCCGGCAACUCACACCUCCCGCGCCCCCCAACCCUCCUGCUCCACCAACCCCCGAGAUCCGUCGGCGCUGGCACAACGCCUCCCCACAACACCUCGAGGUCACCGGCCCUCCUUCAUCGUCGUCGGCAGAGCGCGGAAACCACCUCCGGAAGCACCCUACCUCCAUAGGCGCCGCCAGGUGCCCCACCUCGAGAAGGAGACGCCGAAGCAACCCACCUCCACCCUCCGUCCUGCUCGCCGAUGGGGCCCAACCGCGCCCACGUCCCGCUCGCCGGCGCCCCCGUCCUGCUCGCCGACGCUGGCCCGCUCCACACCUGUCAUUUCUCGACCACCCGCGGCCCUCCACCGGAAUCCAAAAGGUAUGCGGCAUGGCCGUGGAGAUCCAGCAGCCGCAAGAGGUGGGCAAAUCCAGGGCCCUGAAGGUGGACGAGGAGUAUUCGUGUGAGCUGUUCACCGCCGAAGCUAGCAACGAAGACCGCACGAUUCGAGCUACAGGAGGAAUUGACUGCAAAUUGCACACAAGAAACAUUCAGAGGUCUCGUAUAAUAUUUGGAAAGCUUAUCAAUCGUUACUCUAGCACCGGUUCUAAGUAAGAGAAUUUUUCUCAAUAUCAGUACUUUAGUUCUAAUUUUGCAUUUCUAUAUGGAGGAUACAUACUGAUACUACACGCCACUGAUCUGUUUCUCUAGCUGUAAGCAAUGCAAAUAUAGAAUUAGUGUGACUUUUCACUAGUGGGAUUAUUCAUAUGUUAAAAUCGGACUACCUUUUCAGAUGGGGAAAACAGGGGGAAUAGCUGAUCCCCCAUAGCAGAUAUAUGUAGAUCCCCGCUUUUCUAGGGGCAAGUUGUGUACUCACCUUAGUUAAGUUGUAUAUGCACGCUCUUAGGAUUUUUCUGAACUGGUAAUCAUCUAAAUGAUAAGUUCAUGAAUUACUGUAUCCUAAAUUGUAGCAGAGAUUUUGUAGAGUUAUCUGACGGUGUCACCUACAUUUUAGUUGCCUUUAUUUAAAAUUGAUGCAACCAAGUUAAUUCACCAUGGUUGUUCAUCCGUUUUUUUUUCCACUAUAGCCUAUGGCAUUAAUCUGUCCAUGGAUUAAUUGUAGAGAAUUCCUCCAUUUCCUCCGAUUGCUUUUUUACUGCAUGGUUAUGCUCUUGUUGUCUUGAUAUGCUCCAAAUGUGUUGUUAUUCUGAUUUUGCCGGCACUAACAUUUGAGAUGUUCGUUUCUAUUUAUCGUUCAUUGGUCAUGGAGCUAUUAUUAUCUGGGUGCUUACUGGUAGCAUCGCUAUGUGAUGAUGAUAUUGUUUUUUUUUUGAUGAAAAGGAUGAUAUUGUUCAUCCAUGCUUUCACUUAUUUUUACUAUAGCCUUAUUUGUCUUUUGCCUGUAACCUAAGUGGCAGCCAAGAUUAGCCCAAGUAGUUUUCACCAGAGCCUAAGUUAUGUUCUUCAGUUGUUUUCACUAUAGCCUAAGUUGUCUUCAGUUUACCCUAAGUUGCAUUUGUUAUGUAGCCUAAGAUGUAGUAGGGAAAUCAUGCAUUUGUUAUGCAGGCGGAGAUUUGAUGUAUAAGCUUAUUCGCCAUUUUUUUUUAUCCAGUUGUUUUCACUCUAGCGUAAGUUGUUUUCCCAUUCUAGUCUAAGUUGUACCAGAGAUCAUGUAGAGUUGUAUGACGGUUUGUUCUGCUUCACUGUCUUCUUUGUUUCUAAACUAGGUUGGGAUUCACUUCAUACUCAAAGUUUACUUAUGAUCAAAUGUUUACAUGUUGAACUCUAAAUUUAUAUUUUCUUGUUACCUAUUUUUAGGUUUUGCACUGAAACAUCUACUUGCAGUCGAUAUCGGCAAGCACAACCUGCAUUUACCAGAGCCUGAAGGUGGAGGGAGCCUCCCUGCACCCCAAAUACAAGUGGGUCAGCAGCUGCAGACACUAGGCGUAGCGUGGUUGCACCUAAAUUUAAUGUAGGCGCACUUGCACAUCCUAUGGCUGCGCCAAAUGUACCUGGAGCAGUAAAGGCUCCACGCGUACGCCGGAAGGUUCAAGCGGUUGCAAGUGCGUUAAUGGCACACAGGCUUGUCCCCUACACAGAGGCUUCCUAGCAGACAAGCUUUAAGUCUGGUAAGAAUCAAUGAGUAAAGAUAAUACCAAGCGAGCCUGCCUGCGGCUACCAGAAGCUGACGCAGCAGUAGGGAGCUUCUAGUGCCUCUUCCACAAACUGCUCAGCAGAUUGUUGCAAAAAGAACCAGGCUGUGGCAUCGGCAUGAUCAACAAAGCAAAUGUUGUCUCCUAUAUCAAAGCUAUGCCACUAUGUUCAAAGUGAACAUAAACUUUGUUCUAUCUUGCAUCUACUACUGCAAUCUAUUGAUAGAAAGAUGUUUUGGUGUUUGUUCAACUUCUAGGUGUCUCUGUUCGGCAAACCAUUGUUGACAUUUUGCUUGUGCUUCCCUAUACCCUGAACUACUUGCUAUGUCGGAAACCUCAACCACCUAAGUUUGUAUUAGCACAUCUGGUUCAUACUAUAUUUUGUUACCAUACUGGUUCCAUGUAUAAUAUGUAUCCUCUUCUAUUAUUUUCCACAACGUGCA
This is a non-coding RNA of Lolium perenne, 2649 nucleotides long. Lineage: Eukaryota; Viridiplantae; Streptophyta; Magnoliopsida; Poales; Poaceae. The record is from RefSeq and is a predicted model, not a curated record.